AAAACUUUCAACAACGGAUCUCUUGGUUCUGGCAUCGAUGAAGAACGCAGCGAAAUGCGAUAAGUAAUGUGAAUUGCAGAAUUCAGUGAAUCAUCGAAUCUUUGAACGCACAUUGCGCCCGCCAGUAUUCUGGCGGGCAUGCCUGUCCGAGCGUCAUUUCAACCCUCGAACCCCUCCGGGGGGUCGGCGUUGGGGAUCGGCCCUCCCUCUGCGGGGGCCGUCUCCGAAAUACAGUGGCGGUCUCGCCGCAGCCUCUCCUGCGCAGUAGUUUGCACACUCGCACCGGGAGCGCGGCGCGUCCACAGCCGUUAAACACCCAACUUUCUGAAAUGUUGACCUCGGAUCAGGUAGGAAUACCCGCUGAACUUAAGCAUAUCAAUAAGCGGAGGAAAAGAAACCAACAGGGAUUGCCCCAGUAACGGCGAGUGAAGCGGCAACAGCUCAAAUUUGAAAUCUGGCCCCUAGGGUCCGAGUUGUAAUUUGUAGAGGAUGCUUUUGGUGAGGUGCCGCCCGAGUUCCCUGGAACGGGACGCCACAGAGGGUGAGAGCCCCGUCUGGCUGGCCGCCGAGCCUCUGUAAAGCUCCUUCGACGAGUCGAGUAGUUUGGGAAUGCUGCUCAAAAUGGGAGGUAUAUGUCUUCUAAAGCUAAAUAUUGGCCAGAGACCGAUAGCGCACAAGUAGAGUGAUCGAAAGAUGAAAAGCACCUUGAAAAGAGGGUUAAAUAGUACGUGAAAUUGUUGAAAGGGAAGCGCUUGUGACCAGACUUGGGCGCGGCGGAUCAUCCGGGGUUCUCUCCGGUGCACUUCGCCGCGUCUAGGCCAGCAUCAGUUCGUCGCGGGGGAAAAAGGCUUCGGGAACGUGGCUCCUCCGGGAGUGUUAUAGCCCGUUGCAUAAUACCCUGCGGUGGACUGAGGACCGCGCAUCUGCAAGGAUGCUGGCGUAAUGGUCACCAGCGACCCGUCUUGAAACACGGACCAAGGAGUCGUCUUCGUAUGCGAGUGUUCGGGUGUCAAACCCCUACGCGUAAUGAAAGUGAACGCAGGUGAGAGCUUCGGCGCAUCAUCGACCGAUCCUGAUGUUCUCGGAUGGAUUUGAGUAAGAGCAUACGGGGCCGGACCCGAAAGAAGGUGAACUAUGCCUGUAUAGGGUGAAGCCAGAGGAAACUCUGGUGGAGGCUCGCAGCGGUUCUGACGUGCAAAUCGAUCGUCAAAUAUGGGCAUGGGGGCGAAAGACUAAUCGAACCUUCUAGUAGCUGGUUUCCGCCGAAGUUUCCCUCAGGAUAGCAGUGUUGAGCUCAGUUUUAUGAGGUAAAGCGAAUGAUUAGGGACCCGGGGGCGCUAUAUUGCCUUCAUCCAUUCUCAAACUUUAAAUAUGUAAGAAGCCCUUGUUACUUAGUUGAACGUGGGCAUUCGAAUGUAUCAACACUAGUGGGCCAUUUUUGGUAAGCAGAACUGGCGAUGCGGGAUGAACCGAACGCGAGGUUAAGGUGCCAGAGUAGACGCUCAUCAGACACCACAAAAGGCGUUAGUACAUCUUGACAGCAGGACGGUGGCCAUGGAAGUCGGAAUCCGCUAAGGACUGUGUAACAACUCACCUGCCGAAUGUACUAGCCCUGAAAAUGGAUGGCGCUCAAGCGUCUCACCCAUACCUCGCCCUCGGGGUAGAAACGAUGCCCCGAGGAGUAGGCGGACGUGGAGGUCGUGACGAAGCCUAGGGCGUGAGCCCGGGUCGAACGGCCUCUAGUGCAGAUCUUGGUGGUAGUAGCAAAUACUUCAAUGAGAACUUGAAGGACCGAAGUGGGGAAAGGUUCCAUGUGAACAGCGGUUGGACGUGGGUUAGUCGAUCCUAAGCCAUAGGGAAGUUCCGUUUCAAAGGCGCACUUCGCGCCGUGUGGCGAAAGGGGAGCCGGUCAAUAUUCCGGCACCUGGAUGUGGGUUUUGCGCGGCAACGCAACUGAACGCGGAGACGACGGCGGGGGCCCCGGGCAGAGUUCUCUUUUCUUCUUAACAGUCUAUCACCCUGAAAUCGGUUUGUCCGGAGCUAGGGUUUAAUGGCUGGAAGAGCCCAGCACCUCUGCUGGGUCCGGUGCGCCCUCGACGUCCCUUGAAAAUCCGCGGGAAGGAAUAAUUCUCACGCCAGGUCGUACUCAUAACCGCAGCAGGUCUCCAAGGUGAACAGCCUCUGGUUGAUAGAACAAUGUAGAUAAGGGAAGUCGGCAAAAUAGAUCCGUAAC
RNAcentral lists this ribosomal RNA (2233 nucleotides) under Trichoderma harzianum. Its description in RNAcentral is "eukaryotic LSU rRNA". The stretch from base 334 to 2233 matches the Rfam family "Eukaryotic large subunit ribosomal RNA", at positions 1 to 1934 of the family's 3401-position model. Lineage: Eukaryota; Fungi; Ascomycota; Sordariomycetes; Hypocreales; Hypocreaceae. The record is from RNAcentral.